Molecule: ribosomal RNA, 496 nt
Filed under: uncultured bacterium
Lineage: Bacteria
Description: partial 16S ribosomal RNA
Rfam family: Bacterial small subunit ribosomal RNA
Source: RNAcentral
AUGAACGCUUGCGGCGUGCCUCAUACAUGCAAGUCGAGCGAACAGACGAGGAGCUUGCUCCUCUGACGUUAGCGGCGGACGGGUGAGUAACACGUGGAUAACCUACCUAUAAGACUGGGAUAACUUCGGGAAACCGGAGCUAAUACCGGAUAAUAUAUUGAACCGCAUGGUUCAAUAGUGAAAGACGGUUUUGCUGUCACUUAUAGAUGGAUCCGCGCCGCAUUAGCUAGUUGGUAAGGUAACGGCUUACCAAGGCAACGAUGCGUAGCCGACCUGAGAGGGUGAUCGGCCACACUGGAACUGAGACACGGUCCAGACUCCUACGUGAGGCAGCAGUAGGGAAUCUUCCGCAAUGGGCGAAAGCCUGACGGAGCAACGCCGCGUGAGUGAUGAAGGUCUUCGGAUCGUAAAACUCUGUUAUUAGGGAAGAACAAAUGUGUAAGUAACUAUGCACGUCUUGACGGUACCUAAUCAGAAAGCCACGGCUAACUACGUG